RNAcentral lists this non-coding RNA (189 nucleotides) under Melampsora larici-populina 98AG31. Its description in RNAcentral is "Bacterial large subunit ribosomal RNA". The stretch from base 61 to 170 matches the Rfam family "Bacterial large subunit ribosomal RNA", at positions 2523 to 2632 of the family's 2925-position model. Lineage: Eukaryota; Fungi; Basidiomycota; Pucciniomycetes; Pucciniales; Melampsoraceae. The record is from Rfam by way of RNAcentral.
GAUCCAGCCAAAAGUUUCUUUUCUGGCUUUGUGGAGAACAAAUUGUCUCAGCACUUUGCCACCUCAAUGUUGGCUCAGCGCAUCCUACAGGUGAAGAAGCUUGUAAGGGUUAGACUGUUUGUUUAGUAAAGUGCUACGUGAGCUGGGUUCAGUACAACAUGAGUCAGUACGGCUUAUAUCUUCAGGAAA